RNAcentral lists this ribosomal RNA (799 nucleotides) under Purpureocillium sp. RNAcentral describes it as "partial large subunit ribosomal RNA". It matches the Rfam family "Eukaryotic large subunit ribosomal RNA", at positions 92 to 922 of the family's 3401-position model. The record is from RNAcentral. Lineage: Eukaryota; Fungi; Ascomycota; Sordariomycetes; Hypocreales; Ophiocordycipitaceae.
AGUGAAGCGGCAACAGCUCAAAUUUGAAAUCUGGCCCCCAGGGCCCGAGUUGUAAUUUGCAGAGGAUGCUUUUGGCGCGGUGCCUUCCGAGUUCCCUGGAACGGGACGCCAUAGAGGGUGAGAGCCCCGUCUGGUCGGACGCCUAGCCUGUGUAAAGCUCCUUCGACGAGUCGAGUAGUUUGGGAAUGCUGCUCUAAAUGGGAGGUAUAUGUCUUCUAAAGCUAAAUACCGGCCAGAGACCGAUAGCGCACAAGUAGAGUGAUCGAAAGAUGAAAAGCACUUUGAAAAGAGGGUUAAAUAGUACGUGAAAUUGUUGAAAGGGAAGCGCUUGUGACCAGACUUGGGCCCGGUGGAUCAUCCAGCGUUCUCGCUGGUGCACUCCGCCGGGUUCAGGCCAGCAUCAGUUCGCCGCGGGGGAAAAAGGCUUCGGGAACGUGGCUCCUACGGGAGUGUUAUAGCCCGUUGCAUAAUACCCUGGGGCGGACUGAGGUUCGCGCUCCGCAAGGAUGCUGGCGUAAUGGUCAUCAGCGACCCGUCUUGAAACACGGACCAAGGAGUCGUCUUCGUAUGCGAGUGUUCGGGUGUAAAACCCCUACGCGUAAUGAAAGUGAACGCAGGUGAGAGCUUCGGCGCAUCAUCGACCGAUCCUGAUGUUCUCGGAUGGAUUUGAGUAAGAGCAUACGGGGCCGGACCCGAAAGAAGGUGAACUAUGCCUGUAUAGGGUGAAGCCAGAGGAAACUCUGGUGGAGGCUCGCAGCGGUUCUGACGUGCAAAUCGAUCGUCAAACCUGGGCAUGAAG